This 343-nucleotide long non-coding RNA is filed under the name Eucalyptus grandis. Its description in RNAcentral is "long non-coding RNA (EGRA_LNC006221)". Lineage: Eukaryota; Viridiplantae; Streptophyta; Magnoliopsida; Myrtales; Myrtaceae. The record is from RNAcentral.
UGGUCGCUCCCCAACCUCUAUGAAGCUUCUUCACUUCACUGCUCCUGCUCUCUCUCUCUCUCUCUCUCUGACAAUGCUUUCUUCUGCCGAAAAUCCAUGUCCCUUUGCUGCUACACUUGCCCGUUCCUCAGCUUUUCAUCAUCAAGCUUCUUCCUUUUCCUUCCCUUAUUUCACAAGCUGAUGAACUUCUCUGAAGUUGAUGGACAAUGAGGACUUAUUUGGGGAACACCAGAAGUUUCUGAGUUAAGAUUUCUCUACUUAGGCCUUUGAGGAAUGAGAGAUGUAAUGGGUUUUCCUCCAGCCUCUAGGAGUAAAUGUCCUUUCUUUCGUUCUUGGCAUUUCG